Long non-coding RNA from Perca fluviatilis (European perch), 402 nucleotides. RefSeq lists it as uncharacterized. NCBI's taxonomy places the organism in Eukaryota, Metazoa, Chordata, Actinopteri, Perciformes, Percidae. The transcript has 3 exons. The record is from RefSeq and is a predicted model, not a curated record.
GUUCUGCCCCAGGCUGUGACGAGUUUGGCUGCUUCCCGUUGGACGGACAGUUGGAGGUCUAUUGGUGUCAGCAGCCAGUCGGUUACCUGCACUCUCCUGAAUGUCCCACGUACCGACUGAACCCCUUCGAGAUGAGCGGCGAGUUACAGCUGGUGAUGUUUGGGAAAACGGACGACCAGUUGAGUGUUACGGAGCAGGCGCGCCUCUACGUGGAGCCGUGAUCGCUUCCAGCCAUCGGCAUCUUCAGCACCGGCAGCCGGUUCUUCAGUCAGCUGACCGCGAGACGGCGCUGUGACUCCUUAAAUUUAUUAAGUAUUAAACUAUUGUUAGCUGUUCUGCUAAGUCACCCUGUGAAUCAUGAGUCAGCAUUUUAACUCCUUCACAGAGUCUCCAUCGCCUCCA